RNAcentral lists this long non-coding RNA (2488 nucleotides) under Homo sapiens (human). RNAcentral describes it as "HSALNT0016714". Lineage: Eukaryota; Metazoa; Chordata; Mammalia; Primates; Hominidae. The record is from RNAcentral.
CAGAAAUUAAGUCAGUCUGGUGCUUCCAACUAACUCCUUUCUCUUAAAAGUCAUGAUAUGAGCAUGGAGUAACCAAGUGCUCAGUGUCUCUCAAGUCUAAGAUCAAGAUGUCAGUUGGGCCACAUUUUCCUCUGGUGCUCAGUAUCCUCCUCCAAGCUCACACUGGUUGGCAGCAGAAUUAAAUUACUUAUUGUCAUAGGACUGAGGUCCCCACUUUCUUGUUGGACCUUUCUUAGCUCUUUGGAUCUGCCUUCAGAUCCUAGCCACAAGACUUCCUCCACAGUGAGAUUACAACAUAGUUUUGCACAUUUCCAGGCCCACAGGAAAGCUAUUCAUUUUCUCUUUUAAGGGCUCACCUGACUAGGUCAAACCCACCAAAGAUAAUCAUUCAUUUGAUUAACUCAAAAUCAACUGAUCAGAGAAUUUCAUUACACCCAUACCAUCCCUUUUGCUAUGUAAUGUAACGUAAUUAUGGAAGUAUGGAAGUGGUAUUUCAUCAUAUUUACAGGUCCCACUCACACUCACGGGUAGGGAUUAUGCACAGCAUGUAUCCCAGGGGGCAGAAAUCUUUGGGACCAUUUUAGAAUUCUGCCUACCACAAUGUGUAUGUAUCUGAGCCUUCCUUCUAGUGUAUGAGCUUCUUCUGGACAUGGAUCAGAAUUAAAUUGUUGGUUGAAUUAAUGGGAAAAAAACUAACUGAAAUUAGUUUCCCCAGGCUUUUAAAUGUCUCUAGUUUAUAUCUGCUUGUGUUGAGAUACUUUGGCAUUAAUUAUAAUCAAGCAUAGAUUUCCAUAAAUAAACGGCAGUUUGUAACAAAGAUUUGCCAGUAUAGCUGACACCUUUAGGAAGUAAAAUUUUAUAAAAUCAGUAUAAUGACUAAUUUCUUCACACAGCUAGCCUAUUUAUCACAAGUCUUUAUUGGAUACCAACUUUGCAUGCACUGAGUAAUGUGCUAGAUUACAUGGGGAACCAAAUAAAAGAAUACCAGACAUCAUCUCUUUUCUCAAGGAGCUCACAGCAUAAUAAGGAAGAGAACUCUAAAACACAUAAAGUAAAAUUUAACAACACAAGACACAGCAGUUAAUAUUUAUAUCUAAAUUGAAUAAUACAGAAACACAUGGCAGAAACUUCCAGAAGUAGAUCAAAGUUGGCUGAAGUAAGAAAAAGUUCUAAAAUUAUAUCCAUUGUUAAAAGCUAGGCAGGAGAAAUUAGACUUGAUAUGCUAGAAAAGAGCUGUGAAAGGUUUCAAUCUGUGACACAAAAAAUGAAAGCUGUACAUAAGGAAAGUGAGUGUGAAGAGGAUUUUGUAGGGUGGAUUGGAGCAGAAGAGGCUUUUAAAUUGGGGAGAUCACUUAGGAAGCUAAUGUAGUAAUCCAGAUAGGAAGUGAUGAGGGCCUGGACCAUGUGGUAGUAUCAGGACCAGACGGAAGAUUCAAUAAGCUACGCUUUGAAAAUACAACAGCAUUUUGUCUAGGAUUUUACCUGAUACGGGGGAUAAGACAGAGUUGAAACUAUGGUUCGUUUGUUUGUUUGUUUGUUUGUUUUUUAGACGGAGUCUCACUCUAUCGCCCAGGCUGGAGUGCAGUGGCGCGAUCUCGGCUCACUGCAAGCUCUGCCUCCUGGGUUCACGCCAUUCUCCUGCCCUAGCCUCCCGAAUAGCUGGGACUACAGGCGCUCGCCACCGCGCCCGGCUAAUUUUUUGUAUUUUUAGUAGAGACGGGGUUUCACCGUGUUAGGCAGGAUGGUCUCGAUCUCCUGACCUCGUGAUCCGCCCGCCUCGGCCUCCCACGAUACUGGGAUUACAGGUGUGAGCCACCACGCCCGGCCGAAACUAUAGUUUUACAUUUAGGUGGUUGUGGCAGAGAUUGAUGGCUAUACAUCAACAUCCAUUUCCGGUUUUUUUUCCUGGACAAAGCGAUAGACCAUAUUUCCCGGCUUCCCUUGAGAUAUGUGUGACCAUGACGCUGAGAUCCAGCCAACAUAAAAGGGCAGAGAUUAUGCAGCACUUCAAGAUCUGAACUACAGAAUCUCCUGCAUACAAUCCUCCAUGUAGUGGGGAGGGCCAUCCUGCAGACUUCUUCUCUCACCCUGUGCUAUGUAUUCAAUCGAGUCUGAACCAUUAUACAUUUUUGUCUAUUUAUUUUAGAAUUAAACCACUUUACCAUUGACUUGGAAUAUGGUGGCACCACUAACAGAAGAAGAGCUGGGAAAAAGAUGCUCAUUUGGAAUUUUAGAGAAUACUAAAAGAGAGUGGGAAGUCUUAUAGGCAGCCGGUAGUACACAGCACAAUCAAAGCCUAAGAGAAAGGACUCAAUAGUAAAUAGAGAUUUGUUAUUUGCAAAUUAAAGUUUGUUGACACUACAGAAUAGGAGAAUUCUCAGAUGAAGAAAGUGUAGGAAAAUGAGUGGAGCACUGUGUCUUAAAUAUAUAUUCACAUUCUCAUACAUAAAAGCGUGAAAACGUAAGAAUAAAUAUGUCAGCUUAAGAG